Molecule: long non-coding RNA, 4052 nt
Organism: Oreochromis aureus
Lineage: Eukaryota; Metazoa; Chordata; Actinopteri; Cichliformes; Cichlidae
Source: Ensembl
AGCCACCAACCAUAUUGUUUAUAUUUGUAGUUUUUGAAGUAUGGAGCACCACAAAAACUACAAAUAAAAAAAAAAAAAACAAUCCAGCUAACCAAUUUUGUGCUCUCUACUAUCAGAACCCACCAAAUUGUAUCUCAGCCCAGCCCGACGGGCCGAUGGGCUGGGCUGAGAUGGAUUUUGGUAGCCCGACUGGAGAAAUCGCUAGCCCCGGGACGUCGGGCUAGCGAUUUUGCGAGCCCUGGUCAACCCCUCACUUGAAUUUUUGAAUUUCAAUUUAAGGCAAUUAAAUUCAAUCCAAAAACUCAAUCCCAACAAUCAAGUGAUCCCCUGUGAGCAACAGUGGACAGGAAAAACUCCCUUUUAACAGGAAGAAACCUGUGACAGAGCCAGGCUCAGGGAGGGGCAGUCUUCUGUCAUGGCUGGUUGGGAGAUGAGGGCAAAAUAAAAUUGAACAUAAAGGAGAGCACAGAUUGUGGACCGUGGCUGGAAAACAUUAUUACUGUUUUCAAGAGGCACCCGGUCCACAUCCACAACUACAGUAGGGCUGGAAUGGAUAAUAGGGAUAAUCCCACAGAGGACGGCCAUUCACUUCAGCAGAAAAUAUUUGCGACGGCCCAGCAAGCUACAUCAACAACAAUGGCUGCUGUGACAAGACCUAGACCUACUUUAAGUGCGAGUUUGGCGCCAGCACCCCACCAACCACUAGUCUGAGACUCGUCAGUGAGUGGUUCUGUGACAGGAGUAUUUAGUUCAUUCAACUCCCUUUCAAGGUUGGCCAUCCUAGUACUAAUCAUUCUAUUUUGCUCCUGGAGAAGCUCUGCACGCUGAACUAAUCUCUCAUACUCUCUUUGCAACUGCUGCUGAGGCUCAAGGCCACUAGUCUCAAUAUAAUGUAUGGUUUCCCUGAGAAUCCUGUUCUCUUUCUGUAAUAGACGCAACUGACCUUUAACCUUGGCCAGCUCCUCAGUGAGAAACGCUAUCUGUCGCGUAAAAUGUAAUUCCUCUGUAUUAUCUCUGUCCUUAGGUGAAUUAUUUAAUGUUUCCUCCGACAUUUCUUUAAUAGUAUAAAAGCACAUUGUCUUUGACAAAGAUAAUACUUUCAUACAAUUCAUACAAAGUUUUUUUCUUUUGACACUGUGCUUUUAUACUAUUAAAGAAAUGUCGGAGGAAACAUUAAAUAAUUCACCUAAGGACAGAGAUAAUACAGAGGAAUUACAUUUUACGCGACAGAUAGCGUUUCUCACUGAGGAGCUGGCCAAGGCUACAAGUAAGUCGCGUGAAUUACAGAAAGAGCAAAGGACUCUCAGGGAAACUAUACAUGAUCUUGAGACUAGUGGCUUGGAGUCUCAGCAGCAGUUGCAAAGAGAGAAUGAGAGAUUAGUUCAGCGUGUAGCAUUUCUCCGGCAGCAAAAUAGAAUGAAUAAUACUAGGAUGGCCAACCUUGAAAGGGAGUUGAAUGAACGAAAGACUCGUGUCACAGAACCACCUACUGACGAGUCUCAGACUAGUGGUUGGUGGUGUGCUGGUGCCAAACUCGCACUUAAAGUAGGUCUAGGUCUUGUCACAGCAGCCGUUGUUGUUCCCGUAGCUUGCUGGGCCGUUGCAAAUAUUUUGAAGUGAAUGUCCGUCCUCUGUGGGAGUAUCCUUAUUAUCCAUUCCAGCUCUACUGUAGUUGUGGUUGUGGACCGGGUGCCUUUUGAAAACAGUAAUGUUUUCCAGCCACGGUCCACAAUCUCUCAUAACUAUACUGUGCUCUCCUUUAUGUUCAGUUUUAUUUUGCCCUCACCUCCCAACCAGUCAUGGCAGAAGACUGCCCCUCCCUGAGCCUGGUUCUGUCACAGGUUUCUUCCUGUUAAAAGGGAGUUUUUCCUGUCCACUGUUGCUCACAGGGGAUCACUUGAUUGUUGGGAUUGAAUUUUUGGAUUGAAUUUAAUUGCCUUAAACUGAAAUUCAAAAAUUCAAGUGAGGGCUCGCAAAAUCGCUAGCCCGACGUCCCGGGGCUAGCGAUUUCUCCAGUCGGGCUACCAAAAUCCAUCUCAGCCCAGCCCAUCGGCCCGUCGGGCUGGGCUGAGAUACAAUUUGGUGGGUUCUGGUAGUAGAGAGCACAAAAUUGGUUAGCUGGAUUGUUUGUUUUUUUUUAUUUGUAGUUUUUGUGGUGCUCCAUACUUCAAAAACUACAAAUAUAAACAAUGUGGUUGGUGGUUAAUCAAAAUAAAGAAAAAUAAUAUUUUAAAAAAAACAUCCACUACUGCUCUGUGUGUUUACUUGAAGACUUGUAUUUAUUGUGAUAGAAAAAUAUAAAUUGUCCAAAAUAUUUGAGUUUUUAAAUUAGUACUGCAUGACAUAGAUGCAUCUGUUUCUGUUAUUAUCAUAAUAAUCACAACAUAAAAUGAUUACCAGAGUCAGCUGGGGAUUCAUGAACAUCAUCAGUGAUGUUUCUCCACUUUUUGGAGAACAACAAUUAAACAAGAAUAUUUCUAAUAAGCCAACAAUAUUUAAAGAAGGAAAAACAAUAUUUACAGUUGUUUAUACAGGAUUAACCUGAGCGACCUGUUCCUGUACCAUUUUUUUUAACAACUGUAAUAGAUUACAGGAAGUCUCUGGCUGUGUUGCUGAAUCUGCCGAUGCAAGAUCAGACAUGGAUGGAUGAGGUGCUGCAACUGAGACAUGCCGUUUGUCUUUUCUGGUCGGCGAGUGGAGAAUCACACAGGCUGGUCUGCAAAGAGAGCUUUAGGAUGCUUCCUCCCACUGUCCACUGCAUCGUCCAUCAACAGGGUUUGCAGGGCUGGCUCAACCCAUGGCUGCCACACCAAUAAGAUGUUUUCAGAAAUAUGCAAGCAGGAGAUGGUGGAUGCUAUAUUACUACUACAGUCUACAACAGACAUACUUACUGUGUGAAAGGGAGCAGAGAAACACGCUGUAUUGUUGCAAUUCUCUUUUGCAUAAGCCACACCAGAAACGCUCUGUGCAGAUAGCAAAGUCCCUGCAAAGGCACUGCAAAACUUGUAAGCCCUAGUUCGGCUCCCUACAAAGAUGCUUCAGUUUUUCUUGUGUCCAACAAAAUUAGUUCUAAUAUGUUUUAUUUUUAAUGUUACUCUGGGCUGUGUUGAACAAAGUGAGUUAGCACAAUUUAAAUCCCAAAAAAGUAUUAGUCUCCUAAAUGACUGGCAUCUGACAUAGCUAGACCGUCACCGGGGACUCUGUGAGUGGUAAGAGGUUUAAAAACAAACCAUCUAUACUGUCAACAAACAACUCUUCAUCUGCAUUUUUUCAGAACAAAUUGUUUUCAAUCUUGUGCACCUAACUACACCAAUUUAGCGAUGAAACUCGAAAAGUGGGAUAAAUACACACAAAUUAUUCUGACUCCUUCUUGACCCGUGGUGUCCGUAAAACAAGGCCGUUUCUCUUAAUCUCGCGGUAACUUUCUUUUAGGGUUUCUGUUUUUCUGUCUAUUGAGCAUUUCUGCUAAUGAGAAAACCUGCUUCCUUGUUGUAAAAGUCAAUCUACAGACUUUUAGGAAUUACUUAGCUAAUUUCAUGGAUAAUUUCAGUGACUGAAUUAUUGCCGGUCAUUCGUACAUUUACUUUAUUAUAUAAAAUAUAUAAAUUAAAUCUCUUUGAAACUUCUCAUCUCCACCCAACGUGAGCUCAAUAAUGGCCACAGUGAGCGUGUGAGCAACUAUUUGCCUGCGCUACUGUGCAUGUAUGAAGUGGACCGACUUGUGAUCAGGCACACAUGAGGCCGACCGGCUGAGAAUACUGAAAUCAAAGGAAAUCAAACUCUUCUGUCUGGUGAAAUGUUAUACUUACCAAAUCAUGCUCCCUGGCCUCAUAUCCUUUGCAGGUGGAACUGGACCCAGUUGUAAAAACCAAUGAUUUCCGUUUCUGAUUUUGUCUGGCCAACAAAGAGUCCAGGCUGGUGAUGAUCAAUUUAAGAACAGAAACACACACUUCUUACCAAAGAAAUGAAUAUUAUUUUACAGUGUUGCUGAAUCACAUGGAUGAAUUUAACACCUGAACACAGUUACAGCGUGAUGACUGGCAGGAGGAGAU